Regulatory RNA element from Rhizobium tibeticum, 69 nucleotides. It matches the Rfam family "S-element". Rfam says of the family: This family represents a group of S-elements from p42d and related plasmids. The record is from Rfam. Lineage: Bacteria; Pseudomonadati; Pseudomonadota; Alphaproteobacteria; Hyphomicrobiales; Rhizobiaceae.
AGUCAAGAGUCUUUGGCAUCGUUAUUGGUGAGCGGAUUUCUUUUGCCUUUUGGAAGGUGAAGGAAGAUG